CACACUUCUCAGCCCUGGGCUAAGAUCAAGUGCAUCAUCUCUUCUUACCACUUUAAUAUCUGAUACAUCCUCAGCUUGAAGAUUUUAUAUUAAAUGGAUUUGGAGGGCAGGGGAAGGAGUAUCAGCUUGCUCCAUCCACUCCAUGCAUCAACUCAAAACUGCAGUGCUUUCAGGUACUCUGGCUGCAUCGUGG
This 193-nucleotide small nuclear RNA is filed under the name Podiceps cristatus (great crested grebe). Its description in RNAcentral is "U2 spliceosomal RNA". It matches the Rfam family "U2 spliceosomal RNA". From Rfam's summary of the family: U2 is a small nuclear RNA (snRNA) component of the spliceosome (involved in pre-mRNA splicing). Complementary binding between U2 snRNA (in an area lying towards the 5' end but 3' to hairpin I) and the branchpoint sequence (BPS) of the intron results the bulging out of an unpaired adenosine, on the BPS, which initiates a nucleophilic attack at the intronic 5' splice site, thus starting the first of two transesterification reactions that mediate splicing. Lineage: Eukaryota; Metazoa; Chordata; Aves; Podicipediformes; Podicipedidae. The record is from Rfam by way of RNAcentral.